AAACGCGCUACCAAGCUGCGCUACAUCCCUUCCAUUGGUCUACAGUGUCAUUGUAGAGAAUUCCUGUCUUGUUUUCC
Molecule: transfer RNA, 77 nt
Filed under: Ageratum conyzoides
Lineage: Eukaryota; Viridiplantae; Streptophyta; Magnoliopsida; Asterales; Asteraceae
Description: tRNA-Pro
Source: RNAcentral